AGAGAUCUGGAGGAAUACCGGUGGCGAAGGCGGCCCCCUGGACGAAGACUGACGCUCAGGUGCGAAAGCGUGGGGAGCAAACAGGAUUAGAUACCCUGGUAGUCCACGCCGUAAACGAUGUCGACUUGGAGGUUGUGCCCUUGAGGCGUGGCUUCCGGAGCUAACGCGUUAAGUCGACCGCCUGGGGAGUACGGCCGCAAGGUUAAAACUCAAAUGAAUUGACGGGGGCCCGCACAAGCGGUGGAGCAUGUGGUUUAAUUCGAUGCAACGCGAAGAACCUUACCUGGUCUUGACAUCCACAGAACUUUCCAGAGAUGGAUUGGUGCCUUCGGGAACUGUGAGACAGGUGCUGCA
This 354-nucleotide ribosomal RNA is filed under the name Escherichia coli. RNAcentral describes it as "bacterial SSU rRNA". It matches the Rfam family "Bacterial small subunit ribosomal RNA", at positions 692 to 1045 of the family's 1533-position model. The record is from RNAcentral. Lineage: Bacteria; Pseudomonadati; Pseudomonadota; Gammaproteobacteria; Enterobacterales; Enterobacteriaceae.